Canis lupus familiaris (dog) is the source of this 816-nucleotide long non-coding RNA. RefSeq lists it as uncharacterized. Lineage: Eukaryota; Metazoa; Chordata; Mammalia; Carnivora; Canidae. The transcript is spliced from 5 exons. The record is from RefSeq and is a predicted model, not a curated record.
AUGGCCACAUAACGGUCAUAGGCCAUUGCAGAUAGAUUGAACAGCUCACUGAUGAUGAACAAGAUGAAGAAAGCCAGCUGGGUAGCGCACCAGUUAUAGGGGAUUGUAUUUUGAUCAGCUACAAAAUUUACUAACAUUUUGGGUGCCACAGCUGAUGAGUAGCCAAGAUCAAUGAAAGCCAGGUGUCUGAGGAAGAAGUACAUGGGUGUUUGGAGCCUGGAGUCCACCUUGGUGAGGAUGAUCAUGCCCAGGUUGCCCACCACUGAAACUGUGUAGAUGAUGAGGAAAAGCCCAAAGAAGAGAGCCUGCAGCUCAGGAUGAUGCCUGCAGUUCCCCUGAAACUCAUUUGAGUGAAUAUUUAUGUGGUACUCCUUCCCCCAGUCCUACUCAAGCACUGUCUGGAAAAAGCAAGGAAAUUGAGCAUCAAACCUGACUCUUCUCAGAUGGAAGCAGGAACUCGGAACUGUUCCAGGGCCUGGGGUUAGACAGGGAGCCCAAGGCCUGACUACAGUGGGAAGAAUUUAUGAGCAUCUCCUCUAUUUGAGAAACUCCUCUGGGAACUUGAAUGCAAUCCUGAGUUAUUCCCAAAGCAUCUGAGAGCAGGAAAUGAUGUCACUCAUCUUUGCUAAUUAUUCUGUGCUGUCAGACCUUGCUUUGUGACUGUCUUGCAUCUUCCCUCUCCCCUCACCACCAGGGGGAUUUUGUUGUCACUGUCUGGACACAAAUGCCAUGGAACCUGCAGAGCAGUUAGGAAGAGGCAGAGAGAGAGAGAGAGAGAGAGAGAGAGAGAGGCAGAGACACAGGAAGAAGGAGAAG